UACUCUGGAGAGUCUCAUAGAACGGGCGCCGAAGGUGUACGGUGACAGGAUAGUCACUAAUCUCUCAGGCAAAAGGACAGAGAA
Molecule: non-coding RNA, 84 nt
Filed under: pig gut metagenome
Description: Glycine riboswitch
Rfam family: Glycine riboswitch aptamer
About the family: This family represents the bacterial glycine riboswitch. Glycine riboswitches usually consist of two metabolite-binding aptamers domains with similar structures in tandem.
Source: RNAcentral